UAAAUCUGGGGAUUAAUUAUUUCCCAUACAAUUUUAAGUAUCUACUUUCCUGAUUGGAAAUGUGUAUGUGCGUUAAUUAAUGUUGUGUUUAUUAUCGUGCUCUUAUUGUUCCGCAAGUAAUAACGAACACAUGACACGGAGAAUAGAAAGAGAUUAAAAGGACAGAGGAAGACUGAAAGAUCAGAAGAGCGUGUUUGUGUGGACUAGGCUCGUCUGAUCAUGAUUUAUUUAUUGCCAUGCUUUUUGCUGACUAUUGAUUUUUGUUGUCUAACCAUUAGCUAUUCAUUGUUCUCAGAAAAUCGUUUGCCCCGAUAUGCUUAUCCGUGCUCUGUGAUCCCAGUUAUCAUUGAUGUAACCCCAAAAGUAACAAAGCAUUUUUUUAAUUAUUGAUUUAUUUGAAGUUGUUUGCUCUCCACAAAGGUGGAAACACACAAAGCUACAGCUAGGAUUACCGAUUGAAUAAUAUGCAAUAAUGUGAUGCAGUUAUUGAACUCCUUAUGGACGACACAAAAUAAUAAAAUCACACAAACUCCGCCAUUACAUUUUACUCUUGUUCCACAAUAAGUUUAAAACAGACCGGUACAACAAAACUUUUUUUUAACAAACUCAGGUAACAACGAGACUGUCUAACCUUGCUGACUUCCAUUAGUCAAACAGCAUGAAGUAGUCUUUGCAAGAAAGUACUUCGCAGUAUCUUUCCCUGCUACAUGACUAUAGCUAUCCUAAAUACAUGACUAUAGCUAUCCUAACAAUACCGCGGUGGGCAUAUCUCUCCCAACACCAAUACUUAUACUGGAUCCGCGUUUCUAAAGUUCAGGAAGUAAAAAGUACCUAAAGAGUCAGUCACACCACCCUGAAAUACCCUUACUAAAUUUUGCCUAAUGGUGACACAGGAUACCGGCGUAUUAAGAGAGAUUAACAACUGACUGAGCAGUUGACCGUUUAUGCGCCAUAGUGUGUUCCUUAUACGCCGUGUUAGCACACCUCAGGCAGGUGGGUCCUUUGGGCGGACAGUGCCACUCCCUACCACCCUACCUUUCAAAACCUGUUCUGCGACUCUUUCUCCCUUUAACUCCUGUUCCCUCACCCACUUAAAAAAAAAAAAAAUGUUCAGCAAACGGAUAUUCAUAGCCGAGAAUUCGUCUGUAGUGUGCAAACUUCUUACUGCUAAAGGGACCUGUGAAUUUCGGUGACGAAGGAAGUGGAGAAAGGCUACAAACUCUAAUUAAUAUGCAAAGCAGUUUGAACGAACGAAUGAACCGAGAAUACCAAAAGCCCAAAGGAAAGUAGAGUGUAGUCACUGAAGUGCAACUGUCCCGGCGACUGGAAGGAAUAACGACAUAAAUAGGGAGAGAAGCAGCAGAUAAACCUGAUUCAGUCCAUGAUAAUAAUGAUAUACAAGCUACAUCACUAAAUUGACGAGGUGUUAAUGCCACAAACUCCAUACAGAAGCCAGGUGGGGACGCCCGUGUCACAUCAACCACGAUGGCCUGGACGACACAGCGCGAGAUGGCGUACAAGCAGCCCAUGUCAUCCAAUGGAAACUUGUCGGUAUCCAUGCCCUCCCUCAGACUCGGCAGCCACACCACCACCUUCCUCUCCAUACCCGACACGUCACCCAUGUGUGAGAACGUCACCUUAUCCGUGACGGCGGUGGCCGUGUCUUCGACAUCACUCUCCAGCCAUCCGGUCCUUCGCCAUGCUCCUCACCACGCGCACCUCCAUUCCCACCUCGCGCAUGCCCAAGACUACUUCAUUCACGUGACCUGACUCUGGGUCGUCUUUCACGUCAUGGCUGUUUGUCAACACGAAGACGUCACGAAAGUCUAACGGUUCGGGUCCGCCUGAUGGACUUUCCUCUCGAGGGCGUCGCUGGUGUUGUCGUGGGAGUCGCUGCUGCCGCUAAAGUGCUGCUGCUGCUGCUGCUGCUGAUGUCAAGUCUCCAGCUGUGGUGCAGCUCGUGACAUCGUCAUCAGGGUGGUCACCGUCGCUGUCUCUGACGACAGGGUUCGACUCGCAGGGUUGCGAUGGACAUGGUGCUGGCGUCGCAACACUAGCCAUGGUACUAGGUCUUGGAAGGCCAGACGUCGGCCAGUUUUUUUCUGUUAGGAUCAAAGAACAUGCGUUUCCCUCUGUGUGUCAAUACAAUAAAGAACGACAUGAAAGUUUGAGGCAAUAUUUUACAACACACUAGAGUACUUGCAAAAAGUAUUUAAUCUUGUUCACUUUUCACAAUAUAAGAACUAUGAGAAUAAUGAAAGUGAUAUAAAGUAUGUUAUUAACGUAUAAAAAACUUGCUUGAAAACAGUUAAUAUGCCGGUCAGAUAAUUAGCCACCGACUAGACAAGUGACUUUGUUAAUGCUACAAAAGUAUUAUAGGGCAAUUUUUGUAUUUAGAUUGUCUUAAAUGAUUUCACAGUUCUGAAUAUUUUUCAGUGCUUUGCUGUUGUUAUGAAAUUUAGAGCCUGACUGAUGAUGAC
This 2480-nucleotide long non-coding RNA is filed under the name Pomacea canaliculata. Its description in RNAcentral is "uncharacterized LOC112572401". The record is from RNAcentral. Lineage: Eukaryota; Metazoa; Mollusca; Gastropoda; Architaenioglossa; Ampullariidae.